RNAcentral lists this unclassified non-coding RNA (245 nucleotides) under Hevea brasiliensis (rubber tree). The record is from RNAcentral. Lineage: Eukaryota; Viridiplantae; Streptophyta; Magnoliopsida; Malpighiales; Euphorbiaceae.
CCUGAAACUUCAAUCCAAGUUUUUGAGAAGAGAGCACAGGCUGAAAGCAUGAAAACCAGAUAGAACAAGGCAUGGAAGGGAUUGGCUGCCAUAUCAGCCAAGCUGGCUGGAGCAGUGACAUAGUAAGCCAGACCGCCCACUGGAACAAACUGGCCACCUGAAUAUUCAGAUUCCUUCCACUUUCCCAACAGAUUGACAAAGAAAUUUCCACUGUAUCUCCUGUACAGCAACUGAGAGAUGAAAUA